RNAcentral lists this transfer RNA (72 nucleotides) under Xylaria curta. RNAcentral's name for it is "tRNA-Ala". It matches the Rfam family "tRNA". Rfam says of the family: Transfer RNA (tRNA) molecules are approximately 80 nucleotides in length. Their secondary structure includes four short double-helical elements and three loops (D, anti-codon, and T loops). The record is from RNAcentral. Lineage: Eukaryota; Fungi; Ascomycota; Sordariomycetes; Xylariales; Xylariaceae.
GGGCCCGUAGCUCAGUGGUAGAGCGCUCGCUUUGCAUGCGAGAGGUCUGGGGUUCAAAUCCCUACGGGUCCA